Molecule: long non-coding RNA, 5682 nt
Organism: Equus caballus (horse)
Lineage: Eukaryota; Metazoa; Chordata; Mammalia; Perissodactyla; Equidae
Source: RefSeq, a predicted model, not a curated record
GGCCUGUGAGGAGGGAAAGCGUGGGCUGUCAACCUCGCUUUAAGGAUUAUUCCAUCCAGUACAAAGUUUGGUCCGGAGGGUUCUUUCCUUAGGUCCACAUCCUCUCAAAAAUAAGACCUUUCCUGUCAGCGUUUCUCGUGGGCUAAUGAGAGCUUUAAGCUCUCUUUCCAUUAAAUGUUGGGUUACAGGCAACCAGGACUCGACAGAGUUUUAGACAUUGGGGCAAAACUGGCCUGAAGUCACCUUUAGAGCACAGGACAGGGAAGGCUGAUGAAGAAAGCGAGGCGACAAGAGCACCAGAGCUGCUGUCUCUGCUCUCAGGAACUUGCUGAGGAGCCGCCACUGAGAGGACACCACCCACGGGCGUUUAGAACUCAGCUCUUACUGUCUACAAGGUUGUUUUUAAUUAUAACAAGGUGACAGAAGGUUUGAACAGCGGAACCGGGCAUCUCCUCUUCUGCUCCUCACUCUCAGCAGAAACCGAGGCUCCCCCCGCCUUUUCCCUGACUGGGUCGCUGCCUUUCCCAUCCCCAUCCUCCCCCACCUCGGAGAUAAGAUUCCUUGGUGGAUUAAUCGGGUGCUGAUUCUGUAAACUGGGGAGGGACCCAUGGUCUCCUAGCCUCACCUCCCUCACCUAAACCAGGCCAGGUGAAAUCUUAAUUAGCUCCUCUAGGUUACCCACUGAGGUUGUCUCGUAAAGGGGGCUUCUUUCGAGAGUCCGUGUGGAAACGCAGGCAGCAGACAUCCAGGAGCCUGGGCCGGGCAUCCGGAGACCGGCACCCAGCGUGGGCACUAGGGGAUUGAUGGAGACUCAACACCCUCUGCCCCGUGGCUGCUGAGCAGCAGGAGUCCCCCGAGCCCUGGUCCGCUGUCAGCUCCCCUGUCCACGCUUGCUUCCCUGCUUGUCUUUCCACUUCUGUUCUUGCUCUCUGCCUAACUCUCUCCAGGUCUCAGAGUUAAACUCCAGAGACAGAAAAUGCAAUUAGUCUACUUGGUCAUUGCCAUCCCUAUUGGACGAAGUUCUAGCACCAGUCCAGUUUAUUGGACUAAGCCAGCCUAUAAAUCUGCCCUUGGCACAGUUGCCCUUCCCUGUCUAAUCAGCAAUAGCCAGGGCAUCAGGUCAUGUGGCACAAAUCAUGGCCGUUUGCAGGUAAAGAUUGACCUUUCCUCAGGAGGGGGUGGGGCACUUCCCUCUGCCGUGAGCAGGACAAAGCAGUGGCGUGGGCUCGGCUGUCAGUGCUCUCUUCCUGCUCUGAAGGUCUCUUGCACUACGAUACUUAAAUUAAAAUCCUCCAAGGAGGCUUAAUAUGUGUAAUUUCUAUUUCUCAAACUGUAUAUGCAUUUCCUGGGCCAUUAGUUAAUCCGAUUGCUCCCUAAUGGGCGGUCUAGCUGAGAAGGAGCAGGAUGCCAGGGCAGAGGGAAGAGAAGAGAAGGGUCCAGGGAAGGGGCAGGGGAGAAGGCAGCCGCCUGUCCCCUAACUGGCUUUACUGUUUCACACUGGCCUCCCCUGCCCAGCGGCUUUCUCAAAAUAGCUCUAAUAAAUUAAGUUGAGAGGGAAAGUAAUCCGUGGCUGAGAAUGACCAGCUGCCCGGGAGGAGAGAAGUGAGCCAGCAAGGUGGGUACAUCUUGGCCCUGUCACCUGUGAACUGCUGUCACCUGAUCCCAUUAAGGCAUACCCCCCAAACUCCCAGAGUAUGCACAGAAUGACCCCUAAGCCAUAAGCAGGAGGAUUCAAGUACCUGUCUCUGAAAAAGCAGCCUUGGAACCCACAGAAGGCUCUGGCACCAACACUUGUUUUCCCAGUGAGCAGUUGGUCUCGUGCCCUGAGAGACUGAGGGAAAGCAAAACUGCCUCCCAUUGGGGAAUUCACUACGGGCAUUCCCUCUAAUCUGACUCUCCAUUGGCCUGUACGCCUGUGUCUUUGUCACUGAUUCUCCUGAGAAAGGAGCGAUUGACCUCGUCUUGUGAGCUCCUGGAGCUGUGGCUCUGCCGAGCCUUUGGCAGCUGGUCCACCCUUAGCAGCCCUUCUCUUCCUAGUUUACAAACCCUCCAUCUCACCACCAGCCUGGGAUUUGUAGGUGGAGUAAACGAUGGGUGAACCUGUCCAACAUCCAGAAGCUCCAGCUAGAAGCAAACACUGGUUUCCUCAUUUGGUGCCCAGAAUUAGCUGCCCCCUCCCACCAGUGCCUGGCUCUGCUGGGUUGGCUGGUGAGGGUGACAGUGGGGGUUGGGCGAGGGCAGAAUAAUGACCUGAUUGAAGUUAAAAAAUUAUUCAGGAGAUAAUCUAGGAUAAAAACCAAGCGAUUCCUUAGCCUACAUGUUCAAAGAAGGGAACCAACAUUUUCUGGGUGUCCACCAUGUGCUAGACACUUUACAGACAACAAGUUUGUUUACAAGGAGGCAGUUUGAUGUAUCAAGGAAAUGACAACAAUGUUGUAAUUAACAUGUACUUAGCGUUAACCAUGUGCUAGAGAUAUGCAUGACACCUUAUAACACACCACGUGAGAGGUAGGUACUGUUAUUUUUCCCAUUCCAUAGAUGAGCAAAUUGAGGCUCCAAGAGAAUAAGGAAGGGCCCAAGGCCUCUUAAGUGGCAAAGCCCAAUCUGAAUGUCAGACUCCGAGGUUCAAGGUCUUAACAACCAAAGUACACACUGUGGUAUCAGGAAAUCUGUCUGUUUUACCUUGAGCAAGUCACCUAACUUCUGAGUUUCAGUUUCCCCAUUUGACAAUUGAGAAUGAACUAAGAUUUCUCUUGCAAGUUGUUGUGAGCAUCUGCUGAAUUAAGAUAUGCAAAAUUCUUUGUAAGGUGGUAUAUAUUAUAUAUUUUAUUGAGCACCUACAAUAAAAUCAAUCAACAAACAUUUACAGAGCAGGCACUCUGUCCAAAGCAUACUGCAAGGACUGUGAAAUACAGAAGGAUUUCUAAAAUCAUGUUUUCUCCCUCAAGAAAGGAAACAAGGCAGGAUAAGACAGUCCUCUAGUACGCAGCACAAACUGUAGGUGGCGUGAGAGCUCAGGAGAGAGGAGAGCAUGGUGGACCCACGAGGCCAGUCCUGGGGAGAGGAUGGGAAAUGAGGAAGGCGCUGAAAAGUCAGUGAGACUUGGAUGGACAAAGAAGAGGAGGGAGGGAAAAACCAGGAGGGAGGAUGCUGUGAGCAAAGCUGCAGAGUCAGGAUGUUCAAAGAGAGCUGAGGAAACAGCGGGUGGCUCCAGGGGGAGGUCUGUGCAAGAGCAGAGUGUGAAAGUGCUGGAAAUCUGGUCAGAUGGAGGACUGUAUUUGAAAAGCAAUGGGAGCCAUGGAAGGUCCCUGAGAGGGCGUCUUCUUCUCCCUGCCCAGGUCAGGGCUCUGCUUUCCUCUGCAAAGCAAGAGGAGGAGGAAACAUUUAGAAACGAAACCAAGAAAGCUGUGUGUGUACAGCUAACAGGGCUUUUACUUUUUGCUACACAGAACUGUAGCGACAAGACUUGAAUGAGGGGUCAUUCAAGAACUAGUAGGAAAACCACUUUAGGUGUCAUUGAGGGUGAGAGUUAAAAGGGGCCUCUGGGACCGUCUAGCAAGAUCUUAUGUUGUCAUUUCACAGUCGAGUGGAUGAGGUCCAAAGAGUUGAAGUGAUCUCCCUGAGACUGCGGCCGAGCUCAGCUUCACACUCCUCCCCAAGAAUUUUCCAGAAACUUUUCACCUGGGCUCCAGAGGUCCCCAGAGCCUUGCGUGCGCAGUGUACUGGGGGCCUCCCUGCUCACCCAGCCGCUCCUGCUCUGCUGUCUAUGGUUGUCAAUGGCUUGUGAGGUGAUAGCCUUGCUGGGGUGUUAGUCUGCCUGUAAAUGAAGGGCCUCAGCCGACAGAGCUUGACUUCUUCAGAAGGCUAUUAAGGAGGCAAGGCUCACGGAGCCAGGGAUUCAGCCACGUAUGGCUACAGGUUGGGGCAGGGAAGCGAGGAAGGAAUGAACUCAGAAAGAUGCAAGUCUCCGAUACAUUGGCUACCCCGACUCCGGGUGCAGAAGUGGGGCAGAGGCUAUAAUUGAACCCUUCCUUGCUUGUAAAAUAAUAAUUUCAAGACUUACUGGAACAUCUGUAAAAAUCUCCAAAGUUUGAUCCCCGAUGGGGUAGGUGAGCCCAGGGAGAAGCAGAGAAUGAAUGCGAAAAAUGAAUUUACUGAGGGAACUAGCAGUUGUCAGUAAAUAUUGAUGCAGUGUGGACUUUAGAGAUAAAAUGAGCAGCCAUUACUGACUUCUGGCAAAUUCGGAUAAGACAUGAACACCCACAACCCCCAAGACACCCUGUUGGGGAAAGUGAUCACGGACUCUGGCUUCCAUAGUUCAGCUUUCACAAUCAUAGAUAAGAAAAUACUCCUCUUCACCACUGCAAGAAUUUACUAAGUACCCCUUUGCAUAUGUCAUUUUACAGAAUGAACUGCUUGUACUUAGUAUGUUUUCAGUAAAUAUUUGAUAGGAGUGAGAGAAAGGGGAGUCCCUCAGAACUGAUCAUUCAAUUGAAUACAUUCAGAGAACAUUUUCAAUCUGAACGUCCCUCACAACAGACAUUUUAACAGCAAUUCAGGGGAGGGGGAAAGAUUCAGCUUUUGUGGGGUCUGAAGUUUAUACAGUUUUAAGAGUCCCCUUUAGGGAAAAAAACUACAAAAUCAUGAAAAUAAGAAUGCCUGUAAUCACUUUGAUGCAUCUGACAGAAGAGAAAUGUGACAGAAAGGAGACAGAGUGGAAAGAGACAGUGGUCUUGACUGAUUGCAGUGAAUAUAUUUUACUUUUGCAAAAUUUAUGAAAUUUUGCAAAAACUUAUGAACCCAUUACUAAGGUCUCUCACAAGAGCCUGUGCAAGUGAGAGAAGUGAGCUUGAAGAUUAUGCUUCGUUGGCUUCACAGGAAGUCUUCCCUACAACUACCAUAGGCCAAACCAAUCAGCAGAACCAUCUAAACUGCAGCGUCCACAAGGGGGAAACAGUGCAUGUUGUAGGGCACAAUCAACGCAGGACAGUGACAGCGUGAUGGAGGAUUGACAGAUUGGCCCCAAAUGUCCGCUGGCCAAGACCAAGACUAAACAGGACACUGACUACGCUUGCCUUGACCUAGUGGUGAAAUAGUAUACAGAGCAUGGAGAAAUAGCAUUGCACAGUAUCAGGGCUGUGCAGGGUGGCAUUAAAUAAUGUAGAUAUAGUAUUACAUUUCAUCUGCAUAGUCCCAUGAGGGGCAUUUUAUUAUGAUCUUGAAUUUUCAAAUGAGGGGGCUGAGAUAAAGAAAGGUUGAUUUGCUUAACUGGGAGGGCCCACAGCUAGGCUUUUUUUUUUUUUACCCACAAGCCUUACUGCCUCUCACACUUCACUGCCUAGUCAAGUCAAGUUGAUGUAUGGACUACAGUUAAACAGAGUUGGUAACAAGGUCACCUGCCUGAAGUUUACCUACUUGUAUGAGGCUUAUUCUCUGAGCUUUCCAAUGCUAUAGUAAAGUAUUCCUUGAAAUAGUUACCAGAGUCAGAUCUGAUGUGCUAUGGCUAUUCCAACUAUCAUAGAUACAUAACAUUACUAUUUUUCAAGUGUAAAAUCAGAAGGCUGUGUAUAUUAACAAAUGCCAGAGGAACAAAAUGUGUUUGGUGUCCUGUAUGACAAAUAUCUGGAACUGUUAUGAGGAAAAGCAGAAUUUUUCUCCCAAUAAAGAAAGUUUUUUUAUUUC